GACCCGGUGGCCUAAUGGGUAGCGCGCUGGACUACAGACCGCGCGGUCUGGGUUCGAGCGCUGGCCUGGGUCA
This 73-nucleotide transfer RNA is filed under the name Desmophyllum pertusum. RNAcentral describes it as "tRNA-Cys". The record is from RNAcentral. Lineage: Eukaryota; Metazoa; Cnidaria; Anthozoa; Scleractinia; Caryophylliidae.